UUCCCUAUCAAUCCAUGGAUAGUUACCAAGAGGAAGGCAUGAUGCUACCCAACCUUAUUAUCCUGUAAUGACUGUCAAGCCCCCCAAGAAAGUCUGUGCAGAGGUCACUGAUGCUCCCUGUCUUUCAUUGUGUCAGAUUGCACCAUUUGAAAACACCUGCAGAACAGCAUAGAAACAUCAGGAGCUUGAGCUUGCUGGUAACUGGUGGCUACAAAAUGAAGGCUCCUUUACAAUCCAGGGUAUCAGAGAAUCUAAUAUUGGAGACUAAUUCACACCAACAUGUGAGUUUACCCCUCCCACAAGUUAGUUGUAUUUUAAAAGUUGACCAAGUAAGAAGGAACCUGAUGAGUGCAGAUGGUGGUUUAGGCUCCAGUCAGACCAAGGGGAAUGCAGUUUCUACAUUAUCGUGCAGUGUAGAAAUGUCUGUGUUUUUAGCUGGGCUCUCAGCUCCCUGCUACUGUCUAACUUUCUGUUUAUUCAUUCACAGAAAUCUUAAAGAAAUGAUCUUUUACAAAGCUAUAUAUUGAAAGGGAAACUAAGGAGUGUCCCUGGAGGCAUGAGCUGGGCGUCCUUCUGUCUCAUAUCCUUUGGCAUGGAGUUAUUUGUGGGUUCAGGGAGGCAGCAUUUCCUUUUUACAAACAGAAAACAAUUCCAGUCAUGCAGAGUCCAUCCCACUCCAAAGGAUAGGGUCAAAAAUACAUCUCUGUUAGUAACCGUGAUAGAUAUUUUACAAAACAUAUCCACACCACUUGGCAAUGUGACUUUCCUAUCAGGAAGUGGGGUCAACAUCCUCAUCAUUGGAAUCUGGGCUGGCAAUGUGACUUGCUUUAGCCAAUAGAAUGUAGAAGAAAUGACAAUAUGCCAGUUCUAAGCCUAGCCCUUCAGAAGGCCUCACAAGCUUCCAGUCCUCUUGGAAUCCUGAGCAGCCAUGAACAAACUGGACUAGUGUGCUGGAAGAUGAGAGACCACAUAGAGAGAGACAGCCUGAUGCAGCUGAGGUCAUGAGACUGGCCAGACCAGCAGCUUUCACAUGAGCAAGUCCAGUUGAGACCAGAAGAACCACACAGCCGAAUCAGCCCAAAUUGCCCACAUUCAAAAUCAUGAGCUAAGUGAAUUGUUGUCUUAAACCACUGUUUUUAGGUGCAUUUAGGUGCAUUACACAGGGUAGUAACUGAGCAAACAUUGUUCAAUCUUUCCUCUUGCCCAUAGAAAUGGGUGCCAAACACAUCUGCAUACAUUUGGCCUUGUAUCUCUGACCCGAACCUAAUUUCCACUAUCAUGUGAAAGAGCUCUCCUACCAGAGACUGCAAACUGGUUGCCUAAAGGGUCUAGGGAGGAAUCUAAAUGAGUGAGCUAAGGGAUCCCUGGGUGGUGCAGUGUUUUAGCGCCUGCCUUUGGCCCAGGGCGCGAUCCUGGAGACCCGGGAUCAAAUCCCACAUCGGGCUCCUGGUGCAUGGAGCCUGCUUCUCCCUCUGCCUGUGUCUCUGCCUCUCUCUCUCUCUCUGUGUGUGUGACUAUCAUAAAUAAA
Molecule: long non-coding RNA, 1528 nt
Filed under: Vulpes vulpes (red fox)
Lineage: Eukaryota; Metazoa; Chordata; Mammalia; Carnivora; Canidae
Description: lncRNA (ENSVVUG00000024247.1)
Source: RNAcentral